This 392-nucleotide ribosomal RNA is filed under the name uncultured bacterium. RNAcentral's name for it is "bacterial SSU rRNA". It matches the Rfam family "Bacterial small subunit ribosomal RNA", at positions 355 to 764 of the family's 1533-position model. The record is from RNAcentral.
UCGGGAAUUUUGGGCAAUGGGCGAAAGCCUGACCCAGCAACGCCGCGUGAGGGAUGAAGUAUUUCGGUAUGUAAACCUCGAAAGAAUGGGAAGAAUAAAUGACGGUACCAUUUAUAAGCUCCGGCUAACUACGUGCCAGCAGCCGCGGUAAUACGUAGGGAGCAAGCGUUGUUCGGAUUUACUGGGCGUAAAGGGAGCGUAGGUGGAUAUUUAAGUGGGAUGUGAAAUCCCCGGGCUUAACCUGGGUGCUGCAUUCCAAACUGGAUGUCUAGAGUGCAGGAGAGGACAGUGGAAUUCCUAGUGUAGCGGUGAAAUGCGUAGAGAUUAGGAAGAACACCAGUGGCGAAGGCGACUCUCUGGACUGUAACUGACACUGAGGCUCGAAAGCGUGG